RNAcentral lists this non-coding RNA (136 nucleotides) under Paramoeba aestuarina. The record is from RNAcentral. Lineage: Eukaryota; Discosea; Flabellinia; Dactylopodida; Paramoebidae.
UUUCUUUAUUCAUUUCUUGUUUCCAUUCGAGCAGACAGUGCUCAAUACCUCACUGAUGAGAAUGGAGAGGUGACCUCUCAUUUGAUCGGUCUUUUCAGUCGAACAGUUAGAUGGAUUGACGUUGGGAUUCGCCCUG